UUCGCCUGUCUCACUCCUCAACUCGCUGAGCGCUACGAGCCAGCAGCGCCCUCCUGGAAAGCGUCCCCCCACGCUUUCCCUGGUCGUCCUGUACUUACCCGUCUGAUCUGACCUUGAAAAGAAGUUUCUCCUGACACCCUUAGUUUAAAUCCAGCUUCCCCAAAUUGUACUACGUGCUUUGUAAGCACCAUGCAUAUGUCCUUCAGGGUAGCCACCACAGUUUAAUUACAUGGGUAUUUGGUUGUCUCAAGUUGUAAGAGGGCAGGGACCCUGUCCGUUUUGUAAUCAAAACUCCAGGAACCUACGACAGUGCCAGGCACGUGAGACAGAUGGGACUGUGUUCAGAAUUCUCACAAGAGCCGAAGGAUUUAUGGAUGCGGAUAUACCCUUACAGUUGGUGUUCCAUUUACCGGUCAAUUACCCGUCAUGUCUGCCUGGUAUUGUGGUUAACUCCGAACACCUGACCAGGGCUGAGUGUGAGAUUGUGAAGGAGAAGUUACUGGAGCAAGCAGAGACCCUUUUGUCGGAACCUAUGGUUCAUGAGCUGGUUCUCUGGAUUCAACAGAAUCUCAGGGACAUCCUCAAGCGACCAGAAGCUGGAGGUGGCAGUGAAAAGUGCACUUCUGAAGCAGGCACGACUGUGGAUGAUGGAUUGUGGAUGACUCUUUUGCAUUUAGAUCACAUGAGAGCAAAGACUAAAUAUGUCAGAACUGUGGAGAAGUGGGCUUCCGAUUUAAGGCUGACAGGAAGACUGAUGUUCAUGGGUAAAAUAAUACUGAUUUUACUGCAGGGAGACAGAAACUACAUCAAGGAAUACCUGAUUCUUCAGAAAACCUGCAAAGUAGAUGUGGACUCAAGUGGAAAGAAAUGCAAAGAGAAAAUGAUUAGUGUACUGUUUGAAACAAAAGUACAGACAGAACACAAAAGGUUUCUGGCAUUUGAAGUCAAAGAGUAUUCAUCGUUGGAUGAGUUACAAAAGGAAUUUGAAACUGCAGGACUUAAGAAGCUUUUCUCCGAAUUUGUACUUAGGCUGGUAAAAUGAUGUGGAAGACAGCUUUCCUUGAAGCUCGGUAUGACCAUAAGACUAAAUUCUGGGUAAAUGAAGGUACCAUAUGUGGUUUCUAGAAGGGCUUCUUGAAGGCGUUGACUCACUGGGAGCUGCUGCCUUUUCCUCCCUUCUACCGCCUGGAACGUGGACGGGAGGGCUGAAACUCCAAUGGCAAUCUUGGGUUAUGAGCUUCAGCAGCCAUUCUCUAUUGCAGAGAAAGUGGGACACUCUAAUUGUUUGGGCUGAGGAAAGGAUACAAGAAAGUGCCAGGGGAGAAGACAUAAAAGAAAUCCUGAAAACAAAUGAACAAAUGGACUUGGUUCAUGGACACCUAGCCGAGCCUGUGUCUGAGAAGAAUGACAUGCCUUCAGCAUGAAGUCACUACAAGAAAAAGACAUGUAAUUAAGGAGGGGAAAAAAAAUCAGAAGCUGGAGCCAUUAAAGAGACUGUGAUAUGAGGAAAACAUUAUACAGGAGAUGUGACCAAAGAUCUCAGAUCUGAGAGCUGAAAGGGAAUGAAACUAGUUAAAAUUCCACUGCUCAUUCGCUCCAUGGGAGAAAUAACAUUACUGUUGGAUGUCACUUGCCACUUCAUUUUUAGAAACAAUUAAA
Molecule: non-coding RNA, 1659 nt
Organism: Kogia breviceps (pygmy sperm whale)
Lineage: Eukaryota; Metazoa; Chordata; Mammalia; Artiodactyla; Physeteridae
Source: RefSeq, a predicted model, not a curated record